RNAcentral lists this ribosomal RNA (253 nucleotides) under uncultured bacterium. Its description in RNAcentral is "partial 16S ribosomal RNA". It matches the Rfam family "Bacterial small subunit ribosomal RNA", at positions 524 to 776 of the family's 1533-position model. RNAcentral also lists the same sequence under 1 other name. The record is from RNAcentral.
UACGGAGGGGGCUAGCGUUGUUCGGAAUUACUGGGCGUAAAGCGCACGUAGGCGGACCUACAAGUCGGGGGUGAAAUCCCGGGGCUCAACCCCGGAACUGCCUCCGAAACUGUGGGUCUGGAGGUCGAGAGAGGCGAGUGGAAUUCCGAGUGUAGAGGUGAAAUUCGUAGAUAUUCGGAGGAACACCAGUGGCGAAGGCGGCUCGCUGGCUCGAUACUGACGCUGAGGUGCGAAAGCGUGGGGAGCAAACAGG